This 460-nucleotide ribosomal RNA is filed under the name uncultured bacterium. Its description in RNAcentral is "partial 16S ribosomal RNA". It matches the Rfam family "Bacterial small subunit ribosomal RNA", at positions 338 to 795 of the family's 1533-position model. The record is from RNAcentral.
CCUACGGGAGGCAGCAGUGAGGAAUAUUGGUCAAUGGACGCAAGUCUGAACCAGCCAUGCCGCGUGCAGGAAGACGGCCCUAUGAGUUGUAAACUUCUUUUGUACGAGGGUAAACUCAGAUACGCGUAUCUUUCUGAAAGUAUCGUACGAAUAAGGAUCGGCUAACUCCGUGCCAGCAGCCGCGGUAAUACGGAGGAUUCGAGCGUUAUCCGGAUUUAUUGGGUUUAAAGGGGGCGUAGGCGGUCGGAUAAGUUAGAGGUGAAAUCCCGGGGCUCAACUUCGGAAUUGCCUCUGAAACUGUUCGGCUAGAGAGCAGUUGCGGUAGGCGGAAUGUGUGGUGUAGCGGUGAAAUGCUUAGAGAUCAUACAGAACACCGAUUGCGAAGGCAGCUUACGAAGCUGCUUCUGACGUUGAGGCACGAAAGCGUGGGGAGCAAACAGGAUUAGAUACCCGGGUAGUC